RNAcentral lists this unclassified non-coding RNA (205 nucleotides) under Hevea brasiliensis (rubber tree). Lineage: Eukaryota; Viridiplantae; Streptophyta; Magnoliopsida; Malpighiales; Euphorbiaceae. The record is from RNAcentral.
AAGAAGAAAGAAAAAAAGAAAAAACUGAAAUACUUGAUGCAUGUAUAAUGCAUAAGAGUGUGCACUAAUUGCUUUCACUUCCCAAGUUCCACUUUUUACAAGUAAUAAGUACAUCAAUUUUAUCAUUCUUAUUGCAUAAAUGCUAAUGUGUAUGGGCUUUGUUUGUCCAAUCUAAUUUUUACAGAAAUGAUAGAUGAAUUGGUCG